Molecule: ribosomal RNA, 397 nt
Filed under: uncultured bacterium
Lineage: Bacteria
Description: partial 16S ribosomal RNA
Rfam family: Bacterial small subunit ribosomal RNA
Source: RNAcentral
AUACAGAGGUGGCAAGCGUUGUUCGGAAUUACUGGGCGUAGAGGGCGCGUAGGCGGCCUUCUAAGUCGGACGUGAAAGCCCCAGGCUUAACCUGGGAACUGCGUCCGAUACUGGGAGGCUUGGAUUCGGGAGAGGGAUGUGGAAUUCCAGGUGUAGCGGUGAAAUGCGUAGAUAUCUGGAGGAACACCGGUGGCGAAGGCGGCAUCCUGGACCGAGAUCGACGCUGAGGCGCGAAAGCUAGGGGAGCAAACGGGAUUGGAUACCCCGGUAGUUCUAGCCCUAAACGAUGAGUGCCUGGUGUGGCGGGUAUCGAUCCCUGCCGUGCCGAAGCUAACGCAUUAAGCACUCCGCCUGGGGAGUACGGUCGCAAGGCUGAAACUCAAAUGAAUUGGCGGGG